Molecule: ribosomal RNA, 189 nt
Filed under: Edwardsiella tarda
Lineage: Bacteria; Pseudomonadati; Pseudomonadota; Gammaproteobacteria; Enterobacterales; Hafniaceae
Also listed under: 1 other name
Description: partial 23S ribosomal RNA
Rfam family: Bacterial large subunit ribosomal RNA
Source: RNAcentral
GGUUAAGUGACUAAGCGUACACGGUGGAUGCCUAGGCAGUCAGAGGCGAUGAAGGACGUGCUAAUCUGCGAUAAGCGUCGGUGAGCUGAUAUGAAGCAUUAUUAGCCGGCGAUGUCCGAAUGGGGAAACCCAGUGCAAUCCGUUGCACUAUCGUUAAGUGAAUCCAUAGCUUAACGAGGCGAACCAGGG